This 655-nucleotide long non-coding RNA is filed under the name Coffea arabica (coffee). RNAcentral describes it as "long non-coding RNA (CARA_LNC007058)". The record is from RNAcentral. Lineage: Eukaryota; Viridiplantae; Streptophyta; Magnoliopsida; Gentianales; Rubiaceae.
UUUUUUUUUUUUUUUUACGAAUAACACGUAUAAUUUUAUUAGUUUUUGAGAGAUCUGCACUAACGACGGCAAUCAAAAGCAUCAAACACAGCAAAUAAAAGAACUUUUUUUUGUAUGAACUUUUUUUUAUAUAUAUAAACGCAUCAACUACCUUUUUUAUAAAACAAUUUAAAUUAGUAAAUGUAAUGAAGAAGCAAAUCUUUGACCCCCAGAUCAUUUGGCAAGACUGAGCAGGCCAUGCAUAAUUCUAUACUGCAUAUCCGAGGCAACUUUAAUUGCAAUAAAGGAUUGAAGUGGUCGUUUAGGCUUUAGGGAGAAAAGCUCAAGUAAUUGAUGCUUCCUUCCGAUCCAUGUAGGUGCAGGCCUGCAAAAAAAAAUAGAUGGACGUGUUUGCAAUAGGAAUUAUUUAUUAGAAAAUAAUUUAUUUACAUCACAAAUAUAUUUUUUUAAUACAUCAUUCUAUAUUUGCAAUCACCGUAAUUUCACAUACAUCAUAUCGCAUCGCAAAAAAUACUACAAUAAUUAUUUCAAAUAAUUUCCGAUCCAAAACCCUUCUCACCGUUCAUCUUGAGGGUCAACCAAAUAAAAAAUUACUCUUGGCAUGGCAUUACAUUUUUGGGGUUGAGCUGCUUUAGUCAAUACAAUACAUAAGUGC